RNAcentral lists this ribosomal RNA (501 nucleotides) under uncultured bacterium. RNAcentral's name for it is "partial 16S ribosomal RNA". It matches the Rfam family "Bacterial small subunit ribosomal RNA", at positions 30 to 523 of the family's 1533-position model. The record is from RNAcentral.
AUUGAACGCUGGCGGCAGGCUUAACACAUGCAAGUCGAGCGGGGUGAUGGUGCUUGCACUAUCACCUAGCGGCGGACGGGUGAGUAAUGCUUAGGAAUCUGCCUAUUAGUGGGGGACAACAUUUCGAAAGGAAUGCUAAUACCGCAUACGUCCUACGGGAGAAAGCAGGGGAUCUUCGGACCUUGCGCUAAUAGAUGAGCCUAAGUCGGAUUAGCUAGUUGGUGGGGUAAAGGCCUACCAAGGCGACGAUCUGUAGCGGGUCUGAGAGGAUGAUCCGCCACACUGGGACUGAGACACGGCCCAGACUCCUACGGGAGGCAGCAGUGGGGAAUAUUGGACAAUGGGCGCAAGCCUGAUCCAGCCAUGCCGCGUGUGUGAAGAAGGCCUUAUGGUUGUAAAGCACUUUAAGCGAGGAGGAGGCUACUUUAGAUAAUACCUAGAGAUAGUGGACGUUACUCGCAGAAUAAGCACCGGCUAACUCUGUGCCAGCCGCCGCGGUAA